Molecule: RNA transcript, 1647 nt
Organism: Hylaeus volcanicus
Lineage: Eukaryota; Metazoa; Arthropoda; Insecta; Hymenoptera; Colletidae
Gene name: 28S ribosomal protein S27, mitochondrial-like
Exons: 3
Source: RefSeq, a predicted model, not a curated record
UGGUUUAACCCAUGGUUCACAUGUUCGCUGUUGUGUCGAGAAUCGAGACAAACUGUUGAACGAUUAACAAGCUUUCCGUAAUAUUAUAAGUAACUGACGGAAUACGAGCGAAAAUGUUGAAAACGUUGAAAUUUGGACAAAGAGCUUACUGCAGAAUUCAGAAAUCUCUGAUACAGAGACGAACGUUCCUGUCUGAAGCGUACCGGUGCGAGGAAGCGUGGAAAGAUAGAUUCAAAUUUCCUUUACUACGAAACGUUAAACCAGAAAAUUUGUUCAUAGACUUGGACCACAAACAAUCCACCACUGGUAAAAUAAGUGCGAUCGACAUCGACAUAUUCGCGAAUACCGUAAAGGAGCAAUUUCAAAUAGAGGAACUGUUAACUUUAGUUCAUAAUUUGAGGUUAACCGCUGAAACGUCGAACACCUUAGAGUCGACUCACCACGCUGUCAUAAGAUAUUUGUUGGACGUUGACUGCACAGAAGAUCUUAUAAACGUGUUGCACGACAGACUAAAUUAUGGCAUUUUUCCCGACUACUUAUGUUACAAUAUACUUAUGGACACAUACAUAAAAAGGAAAGAUUAUGCUACCGCAGCAAAAAUUGCUGUUUUACCUAUGCUACAAGAAGAUUCAGGGAAUCCGAUAACUAACGCAUUGUGCGUGUACUGUUGUCACAAACAUUUGGAAAGUCCUGAAAAGUGGCAGAAGCCAGAGGUUCCAGUAGAUGAUUCCAAAGAAGAAAUUAAAGUGCGCGUGCGCUAUCUCAGGAAUCCUUACUUUGAUGAUCAUUUUGAUCUUACUGACCCACGUGAUUUGGUGGGAAAAACGUUAGCUUUUUAUGGAAAGUUUAUGAAUAAUACAUUAGGAAGAACUUGUCAGUUAAGAGGUUUAAUAUUAUAUAAAAAGUAUGAUGAUAUCUCGAAGCUAAUAGAACAGUGGUUGAAGGAAGUAAAAGAUAAUGUAGUUUACGAAGAAGUUCUUGAUUUGAUAAAAAAGGAUAAUGAAAGUCUAUCCGAAGAGCAAGUAACAGAUGAAUUUAAGAAUGUAAUGUCCCAAGUUGAGAAAUUACGAGCUGUAAAUCUGUGUAAAGAUAGUUUAAUUGAAGCAUUGGAGAAUGAAGUUAAAUCGGCAGUUGACAAGCAAUCAGAGAUAGAUAUAAGCGAACAAUUACAGAAAUAUAUUCAUUGGGGAGAAGUAAGAGAAAUAGUGUUACAAGAUCAAUUACUAGAAAUAGAACGACAAAAGAGCAUAGAAAAUUUAACUGCAUUGAAGAAAGCAUUGAAGGACGAAGAGAAACUUAUAACAUUCUUCGAGAAUGAGGAAAAAAUAGAAUUGGAAAUAGAGAAAAUAGAAAAGAGGGAACAAGAUGAGAUGGAUCGUGUUCUUAAAAUGCAUAAAGCUGAAAAGAAACUUAAGAAAUUGGAGAAAGAAGAAGAGUACAUACCGCCAACUGUUAGAAAACAGAGAAGUUAAAUUUCUGAUGUCAUCGUAAACAAUGAAUACAAUUUUGUAGUUAAUAACUAUUUAAUAAAAUGUAUGUUGACAUAAAUUGUUUGUGGGAGGAUAAUAAUGAUCAGCAGUUAUUCUCUCCAAAUUUGCUCCAACAUUUUUCGUAGAUUCGGAAUCAAUCUUUAAAAAAAAUAUACGA